UUAGGAAUCUUGCGCAAUGGGCGAAAGCCUGACGCAGCAACGCCGCGUGAGGGAUGAAGGCUUUCGGGUUGUAAACCUCUUUCAGCAGGAACGAAAUUGACGGUACCUGCAGAAGAAGCUCCGGCCAACUACGUGCCAGCAGCCGCGGUAAUACGUAGGGAGCAAGCGUUGUCCGGAUUUAUUGGGCGUAAAGAGCUCGUAGGCGGCUUGGCAAGUCAGGGUGUGAAAACUCCAGGCUCAACCGUGGAGACG
This 252-nucleotide ribosomal RNA is filed under the name uncultured bacterium. Its description in RNAcentral is "partial 16S ribosomal RNA". It matches the Rfam family "Bacterial small subunit ribosomal RNA", at positions 355 to 622 of the family's 1533-position model. The record is from RNAcentral.